CCUACGGGAGGCAGCAGUGGGGAAUAUUGGGCAAUGGACGAGAGUCUGAACCAGCCAAGUCGCGUGAAGGAUGACUGCCCUAUGGGUUGUAAACUUCUUUUAUAUGGGAAUAAAAUGUUCCACGUGUGGGAUUUUGUAUGUACCAUAUGAAUAAGGAUCGGCUAACUCCGUGCCAGCAGCCGCGGUAAUACGGAGGAUCCGAGCGUUAUCCGGAUUUAUUGGGUUUAAAGGGAGCGUAGGUGGUUUGUUAAGUCAGUUGUGAAAGUUUGCGGCUCAACCGUAAAAUUGCAGUUGAAACUGGUAGUCGUGAGUACAGUUGAGGUAGGCGGAAUUCGUGGUGUAGCGGUGAAAUGCUUAGAUAUCACGAAGAACUCCGAUUGCGAACGCAGUUCACUGGACUGCAACUGACACUGAGGCUCGAAAGUGUGGGUAUCAAACAGGAUUAGAUACCCGGGUAGUC
This 460-nucleotide ribosomal RNA is filed under the name uncultured bacterium. RNAcentral's name for it is "partial 16S ribosomal RNA". It matches the Rfam family "Bacterial small subunit ribosomal RNA", at positions 338 to 795 of the family's 1533-position model. The record is from RNAcentral.